UGGGGAAUAUUGGACAAUGGGCGAAAGCCUGAUCCAGCCAUGCCGCGUGUGUGAAGAAGGUCUUCGGAUUGUAAAGCACUUUAAGUUGGGAGGAAGGGCAUUAACCUAAUACGUUAGUGUUUUGACGUUACCGACAGAAUAAGCACCGGCUAACUCUGUGCCAGCAGCCGCGGUAAUACAGAGGGUGCAAGCGUUAAUCGGAAUUACUGGGCGUAAAGCGCGCGUAGGUGGUUUGUUAAGUUGGAUGUGAAAGCCCCGGGCUCAACCUGGGAACUGCAUCCAAAACUGGCAAGCUAGAGUACGGUAGAGGGUGGUGGAGUUUCCUGUGUAGCGGUGAAAUGCGUAGAUAUAGGAAGGAACACCAGUGGCGAAGGCGACCACCUGGACUGAUACUGACACUGAGGUGCGAAAGCGUGGGGAGCAAACA
This 427-nucleotide ribosomal RNA is filed under the name uncultured bacterium. RNAcentral describes it as "partial 16S ribosomal RNA". It matches the Rfam family "Bacterial small subunit ribosomal RNA", at positions 355 to 774 of the family's 1533-position model. The record is from RNAcentral.